UACAGAGGGUGCGUGCGUUAAUCGUCAUUCCUGGGCGUAAAGCGCGCGUAGACGGUUUUGUAAGUCAGAUGUGAAAUCCCCGGGCUCAACCUGGGAACUGCAUUUGAAACUGCAUGGCUAGAGUACGGUAGAGGGAAGCGGAAUUUCAGGUGUAGCGGUGAAAUGCGUAGAUAUCUGAAGGAACACCAGUGGCGAAAGCGGCUUCCUGGACCAGUACUGACGUUCAUGUGCGAAAGCGUGGGGAGCAAACAGG
RNAcentral lists this ribosomal RNA (253 nucleotides) under uncultured bacterium. RNAcentral describes it as "partial 16S ribosomal RNA". It matches the Rfam family "Bacterial small subunit ribosomal RNA", at positions 524 to 776 of the family's 1533-position model. The record is from RNAcentral.